This 250-nucleotide ribosomal RNA is filed under the name uncultured prokaryote. RNAcentral describes it as "partial 16S ribosomal RNA". It matches the Rfam family "Bacterial small subunit ribosomal RNA", at positions 524 to 773 of the family's 1533-position model. The record is from RNAcentral.
UACGGAAGGUCCGGGCGUUAUCCGGAUUUAUUGGGUUUAAAGGGAGCGCAGGCUGGGACUUAAGCGUGACGUGAAAUGCCGCGGCUCAACCGUGGAAGUGCGUCGCGAACUGGGUUCCUUGAGUGAGUUCGACGUGGGCGGAAUUCGUGGUGUAGCGGUGAAAUGCUUAGAUAUCACGAAGAACCCCGAUUGCGAAGGCAGCCCACGAGUCCUUAACUGACGCUAAAGCUCGAAGGUGCGGGUAUCGAAC